RNAcentral lists this ribosomal RNA (521 nucleotides) under uncultured bacterium. RNAcentral describes it as "bacterial SSU rRNA". It matches the Rfam family "Bacterial small subunit ribosomal RNA", at positions 10 to 518 of the family's 1533-position model. The record is from RNAcentral.
AGUUUGAUUCUGGCUCAGGAUGAACGCUAGCUACAGGCUUAACACAUGCAAGGUCGAGGGGCAUCAUGGAGUUUGCUUGCAAACUCUGAUGGCGACCGGCGCACGGGUGAGUAACGCGUAUCCAACCUUCCCUAUAGUAGAGGAUAGCCCGGCGAAAGUCGGAUUAAUACUCUAUGUUUUCCGUUGCAGACAUCUAAGAUGGAACAAAGGCUUGCCGCUAUAGGAUGGGGGAUGCGUCUGAUUAGGUAGUCGGCGGGGUAACGGCCCACCGAGCCAUCGAUCAGUAGGGGUUCUGAGAGGAAGGUCCCCCACAUUGGAACUGAGACACGGUCCAAACUCCUACGGGAGGCAGCAGUGAGGAGUAUUGGUCAAUGGGCGAGAGCCUGAACCAGCCAAGUAGCGUGCAGGAUGACGGCCCUAUGGGUUGUAAACUGCUUUUAUGCGGGGAUAAAGUUCGCUACGUGUAGUGUUUUGUAGGUACCGCAUGAAUAAGGACCGGCUAAUUCCGUGCCAGCCGCUGC